AAGAGUACGUGAAACCGUUCAGGGGUAAACCUGUGAAACCCAAAAGAUCGAAUGAGGAGAUUCAUCGUCAGCGUAUUCAGUAUUAAUGCAGGCCAUGAUGUGAUAAUAGAAUCCUCGUGGUCACUAGAUUAUACUUGCUUGUAUUAUUUUUGCUGGGUAUGUCGGCGUGCACUUCUCCUCUAGUAGAACGUCGCAACCCGUUUGAUGUUUAUCUAUGGCCUAAAUGGUAGUCUUUGAUAUUUUAUUGUAUUGAAAACCUUUGGUGUCCUGAUAAACUGUCUGACGGUAUACAAAUGGUAUUGAGCCGCAAUUAUUUGCGUUAGACUUGUCGCAAGUAUGACUUUAUUCUGGCAGUGCGGAUCUAAUGCCGUCGCUGGUCAAAGUCUGCUGUUAGCUGUGUAAUGUCUUUAACUGGCUUAUUUACUGGUUAGCGAUGCUACUGCUUUGGGUAC
This 452-nucleotide ribosomal RNA is filed under the name Choeras sp. 2 SY-2020. RNAcentral describes it as "partial large subunit ribosomal RNA". Lineage: Eukaryota; Metazoa; Arthropoda; Insecta; Hymenoptera; Braconidae. The record is from RNAcentral.